Long non-coding RNA from Amphiprion ocellaris (clown anemonefish), 373 nucleotides. NCBI's taxonomy places the organism in Eukaryota, Metazoa, Chordata, Actinopteri, Pomacentridae. The record is from Ensembl.
UUUGGCCCAACAGAUUCUGAUGGUACUAUCUGCCUGGUGGAGCCCCUUCACACCACAACAGACCUUGUAACUGAUGAAGAGGAUGAAACUGUGUCUGCUGCCUUUACAGAGGGGGAUCCAGAAAGGCAUACAGAGAGCAUGGCUGGACAGCAGCAGGAUGGUCCCUCAACUUCCACUGCACAGACUGACACAGUGAGAUGGAUGUUCAAUAAACACCAGAGGUUCAGUCCAUGGAAUUCAUGUGCAACUGUAUAAUUUAAUGUCCUUUAUGUAUUCCCAGUUACCAGUAAAACAAAUAUACAAAAUCCACUUGCUGAGAAAAAUACAAAAAACAGAUAAAGAAAUGCAGUACUUGGACCGCCAGAUUAAGAAG